RNAcentral lists this unclassified non-coding RNA (327 nucleotides) under soil metagenome. RNAcentral describes it as "partial contains 5.8S ribosomal RNA, internal transcribed spacer 2, and large subunit ribosomal RNA". The stretch from base 1 to 120 matches the Rfam family "5.8S ribosomal RNA", at positions 35 to 154 of the family's 154-position model. The record is from RNAcentral.
GAUGAAGAACGUAGUGAAAUGCGAUAAGUAAUGUGAAUUGCAGAAUUCAGUGAAUCAUCGAAUCUUUGAACGCACAUUGCGCCCCUUGGUAUUCCGGGGGGCAUGCCUGUUCGAGCGUCAUUAUAACCCCUCAAGCUCAGCUUGGUGUUGGGGCCUGCCGACUGGCAGCCCUUAAAAUCAGUGGCGGCGCCAUCUGGCUCUAAGCGUAGUAAUUUCUCUCGCUAUAGAGUCCCGGUGGAUGCUUGCCAGCAACCCCCAACUUUCUAUGGUUGACCUCGGAUCAGGUAGGGAUACCCGCUGAACUUAAGCAUAUCAAUAAGCGGAGGA